GACGAACGCUGGCGGCGUGCUUAACACAUGCAAGUCGAACGGAAAGGCCCUGCUUGCAGGGUACUCGAGUGGCGAACUGGUGAGUAACACGUGUGUGAUCUGCCCUUCACUUCGGGAUAAGCCUGUGAAACUGGGUCUAAUUCCGGAUAGGAGCCAUUUUUAGUGUGAUGGUUGGAAAGUUUUUUCGGUGUAGGAUGAGCUCGCGGCCUAUCAGCUUGUUGGUGGGGUAAUGGCCUACCAAGGCGGCGACGGGUAGCCGGCCUGAGAGGGUGGACGGCCACAUUGAGACUGAGAUACGGCCCAGACUCCUACGGGAGGCAGCAGUGGGGAAUAUUGCACAAUGGGAGCAAGCCUGAUGCAGCGACGCCGCGUGGGGGAUGACGGCCUUCGGGUUGUAAACUCAUUUCGCUAGGGACGAAGCUUUUUGUGACGGUACCUAGAUAAGAAGCACCGGCUAACUACGUG
This 465-nucleotide ribosomal RNA is filed under the name uncultured bacterium. RNAcentral's name for it is "partial 16S ribosomal RNA". It matches the Rfam family "Bacterial small subunit ribosomal RNA", at positions 28 to 507 of the family's 1533-position model. The record is from RNAcentral.